CAUGGAACAUGUCUCAUGGACAUAGUGAGACUACUGUAUCUGAUUUUUCUCAGUGUUGUCACUUGUUAAUUGACUUUUCUCGUUAAAAUUGUGUUGGUUCUUGAUAGGAUGAAUGGUUUACAUUGUAUGCUGAACUUUGAAUACUAUUCAAGUAAUUAAGUAGUCAACCAAAGAAUCCCCAUGUUGAAGUGUAGUUAAAAAACAUGGUAUGUGAGCAUGUUCUGCUUUUCACUGGGCUCCAUAGAUACCAGGACGGAGCAUUGACUCACACUGCCUUAUUGCAGAUGUGUGGAGUGAAAGUUCUCCCCAGGCAUCACUGACACUUUAUCUUUCCAGCAAAAAUGAGCACCAACUGGUACUGCUUGUUGUCUCCCAGGGGGAGUGUUUCCUCUGCUUUCUGCUGUGUUUCACUGAUGCCAUCGAAGGAGGAUGCUGAAGACUGACUCAAAAAACACUUUUUCUUUUUUUUUUUUUUUUUUUUGCUACAGGUAUGAGGAAGAAGCUUAGCUCCUCACUGGAGCCCACUGAUGACACAGAUGGGGCAGUGAAGUCAACCCGCUUCAUCUCACACCACCUCUUCCCCUUUUUAGUACCAGAAGUAAACACCCACUUUGUCCACCCAGUGGCAAAGCCAGUCCUGCUACUUAGUCAUUAGGAACAGAAUGAAGUGACCUGAGAGCUGUAUUCAUCAACAAGUUGCAGUAUAGUGUUCCCUGAAGAAUGAAUCAAAUUCAGUCUUGCUUUUUGAGGUAAGUAGGGUGUAUGAAGUAAUCCUGAGGUACAACAUACAGCAUUCAAGAAUGGUGGAAUCAUUACAAUACUAUCUUUGCAGAGACUACUGGGGCAAUAUAAUUUUCCUUUGAUUACUUUAAAAAAGCACAUCUGAACAUUUACUUCAAGUUCUUAAAUGCAAUCCCCUUUUGUCAAUAAUUGAAAACAACACUUUAAGAAUCUUCCAGCUUGAAUAUGGAAAGUGGUGCAAACAUCAUGUAAGAUAAACCAUUUGUGGAGUAUAUAAUGAUCAUAUUAACUAACAACAUAAACACUAUGAGAACACUGACAGCAACACAAUGCAAAGAAUAUUGAUUUAGCACUAUUGUACUAAUACUCUUUGGAAAUAUAUAUAUAGCUAUUUAGAUUUCACAGUAAGUUUGGUAUGAUGAUACAAGGCAAUCCUAAAACACAAAUUUGUAUUAUUAGCAGCAUUCACUAUUAUUCAGUACACUGGGUAAAUUUCAUUGUGCACUACAGUGAUUAUAAAGAAGCUGUAGGGCUACAUGCCAUUUGUCAUAUUUAAACCUAAUUUUAGACUGCUCAGUCCACUAUUUUUGGUAAUAUCAAGAGAGCAAUAAUUACCUGUUUCUUUACAGUAUAUAGAAAUAAGAAACAGGAGGCUUAUAUCAAAUGCAAAACUUCAGUCUACAUCAAAAUCUGCCACAGGCCUAAAUUAAGGACAUACAAAAUUUAACAUAAAAUGAUACACCUAAAGAAAUG
This 1494-nucleotide long non-coding RNA is filed under the name Macaca mulatta (Rhesus monkey). RNAcentral describes it as "lncRNA (ENSMMUG00000064691.1)". The record is from RNAcentral. Lineage: Eukaryota; Metazoa; Chordata; Mammalia; Primates; Cercopithecidae.